Lonchura striata (white-rumped munia) is the source of this 710-nucleotide non-coding RNA. Lineage: Eukaryota; Metazoa; Chordata; Aves; Passeriformes; Estrildidae. The record is from RefSeq and is a predicted model, not a curated record.
AGAAACAUUUUGCAGACAAGAUGGCAUUUCUCUCUCCCUGCCAGAUUAAGUUGGAACAUUGCUGUUCCCUAGGGUGGUGGGUAAUGGAGAAGUUCCUACAGACUGCAUGCUGCCUGUGAACCGUGGGUCAAGAUUAUCUAAGAUCUACAUUUGGAGACCCUUAGUCAGAAAAAUGAACCUUUAUUCUUUCAGGAAGACUGUUUUGAAGCCAGCUGAGCUUCUGAGAAAGGAGUUGAAGAGGAAAAUGGCCAUCAUCCAGAAUAAAAAGCAACCAGGGAAUUACACUGACUUUUGUUACAAAGAAGAAAUCAACAAACAAUAAAUGGGAAAUAUGAAGAUCUGUAACAUGGAGCAAAGAUGCCCAAAUGGAAACAGAGGGCCAGACAAAACCUGGUCUGGCAGAGACAGGAGUUGCCAGGCAGCAUGGUCACUUCUACCACAGCCUCAUAGAGCAGCUCUCCCAUCCCUCCCACCCAGCCACGGGGCUGACAAUGCUGGGGACAACGUGCAGUCUGCAGGGUGAGGGCAAAAUUAGCUUAGUUUUAUUUUUUUUAAGAUUCCUUCAGAAGGAUGGUUAGAAAUUUAUACAUGUUUAUUAUUAUUUUGGAAGUGUGCUAUUGUGGUUUAUUUUUGGUAUAGCUGAUGCUGUCCCAUGUGUAAAAUUUAGUGAUUGGCAAUUAAUGAUGUCAUUAAUAAAACAACAAGUUACU